CAGCAAUUCGUUACAUUAUAUUCUCACUUGUAGGGUGCUGAUACGAGUUAUUUCAGCAACCUAAAACCUUAUUAGUGCACGCACACUUUCUGGUCGAAUCGAGCGGCCGAACGCUCGCCGCUCGAUCAACUCAGAUCAUGUGGCCCGCGACGUCAGGCGUUACUUGGUCGGGGAGGUGGUUGCGACCGCGUACGACAAACGACCCAUCCUCUCCUCCACCUCCUCUUCAGCCGCCCCAUCCUCUCCCAUCAUUCCCCUCCUCCACCCGCCUGCGCUGCGCACAGGCACCUGCGCUAUGUCGCCAUGGAUGGCUCGCCCCAAGCAGCAAGGAGCACCGACGCAUGUGCUGCGUCGCCAUGCCCGCCCGAGCAGCAGCUGAUGUGAGACCAGGAGGUUGUCUCCUCCCCAGAUCCUGGUGACGGUGAGAUCCAGCAGAUGCGGACCAGGUUGUCUUCGCCACGGCACGCCGCCCUCCUCUCCGGUGACAGAGCUGGUCCUUUCCAACGCGCAUCUGGAUGGGUUCAUCAUCGUCGCCCCGGCCUCUUCCUUCCCCUGCGUCUGACAAGAUGUUGAUUGAAGUAUUCUGUAGACGCGUACUACUUGAUUGAGGUAUCUGCAACAGUUCCGAGCAGUGAAGAAAAGAAGCAUAGUUCAAGCCGGUAGUAUAGCAUAAAGAACGUCAGAUUACUUUGACUUGCCUCGGUUGACCAAUCCAUGUGGACGGUGGAAUAAUGCAAAAGCAAAAGCUUAAACGGGAUGAUUUGACGCAUAUUUAAUCCCUUUCUUCGGCCGUGAAUUUCUGCAUGUCAGUCUAGAUCAUCUUGCUAUAUUCUUGUCUUUUUUCAUAUGCUCUUUCAGAAGUCACCCGAGAAUGUUUUUAGUGCACAACUAAGAAUUCAGUCUUGGUUGAAUACCACCAUCUUAUAUUUUGUGA
RNAcentral lists this ribosomal RNA (934 nucleotides) under Triticum aestivum (bread wheat). Its description in RNAcentral is "partial small subunit ribosomal RNA". The record is from RNAcentral. Lineage: Eukaryota; Viridiplantae; Streptophyta; Magnoliopsida; Poales; Poaceae.